This is a non-coding RNA of Gasterosteus aculeatus aculeatus (three-spined stickleback), 3933 nucleotides long. The record is from RefSeq and is a predicted model, not a curated record. Lineage: Eukaryota; Metazoa; Chordata; Actinopteri; Perciformes; Gasterosteidae.
AGCCCAGCAAAUGAGACACAGCUGGCGUGGAGUGAACGGAGAUGACGUGACUCUCACCAUACGGCUCUGGGUGGACGGCCAGGCUGUGGAGGCGUGUCAUCCGGGCUGAAUUACUGAAAGUUCUCCAACAUCGGGAAAAAGUGCACCGUGCUAAACGCUUCUGCUCUACCGCAACAUGCACAGCAGCCACGUCACGCGGGCGCUGCUCUCCAUUCUCUGCAUCGGACUGAGUGGUAAGAAGAACACUACGUAUGAACUCUACGCGGGCUCGCUCUUAGCCCAGUCCGAGCAGGACACGGACGAGGUGGUCCCCCGGCUGCUGUCGGGUCAAGAGGCGCACCUGUCCUCCGGCCGCUCGGCCAGUCCGCCGUGGCGCCGCGGGCAGCGCUCCACGGACGCCCCGCGGGGACGACACUCCGACCCGGCCCAGAUCAUCGUGUCGCUGACUGCAUUCGGAAUGAGGCUGUAUUUAAAUCUUACGUGGGACAGCACGUUUAUCUCAGGGGACUUCGAGGUCGAGGAGAGACGCGGAGACCAGAGCGCUGCGUCCAGCCGUUUAUCGAAGAAGCAGCUGUGCUUUUACUCCGGUUCCGUCAUCAACCACACCGGUUCUGUGGCGUCACUGAGCACGUGUGGCGGCCUGACUGGGCUCAUCCAGAUCAGGGAGGAGAGUCUAUUCAUUCAGCCAGUGGGCGAAUAUGGCCCCUAUCAGUCCUUCUCGGGAAUGAAACACUGGCUGCUGCGACACCAACGCUGUGCCACGACCAGCUCUUCUCCAGAUGGCAACUGCUGGAUCGUACGAGGUAAGGAGAAGAUGCCAAACAUGGGGGAGAAGGGUCGCAGGAAGAGAAACGUCCUUCACCUGCAGGAAGCAUACACUGUGGAGACAGUGGUGGUGGCCGACUCUAAUAUGGUGCAGUACCACGGAGCUGAGGCAGCACAGAGGUUCUUGCUGACAGUCAUGAACAUGGUCUACAAUAUGUUCCAGCACAAGAGUCUGGGAGUCAAGAUUAACAUUCGUGUGACCAAGCUGGUAAUUCUUCACAGCCGUCCCGAACAGCUAAAGGUGGGCCAUCAUGGAGAGAGGUAUCUGGAGAGCUUCUGCCAUUGGCAGCAUCAAGAAUUUGGGAGGUUACGCUACCUUGGUACCGACCAUUUCCCCGGUGGAUGGGAAGACAUCCCACCAGUGGACACUGCUGUGCUGGUCACCAGGACAGAUUUCUGCGUUCAUAAAGAUGAACCCUGUGAUACUGUGGGUAUUGCUUAUUUAGGGGGUGUCUGCAGUGCCAAGAGGAAGUGUGCGUUAGCAGAAGACAAUGGACUCAAUUUGGCUUUCACCAUUGCUCACGAGUUGGGACACAACAUGGGUAUGAGCCAUGAUGACGAUCACGCCACCUGCACCAGUCAUUCCCACAUCAUGUCUGGUGAAUGGAUUAAAGGUAGAAACCCCAGUGACCUGUCCUGGUCCUCCUGCAGCCGCACUGACCUGGAGAACUUCCUCAGGUCCAAAGCCAGUGCCUGCUUACAGCAAACAGACUCCAGGAGCCGUUACCAGAUCCGCCUUCCUCCAAAGCUACCAGGCAUGCAUUACAGUGUGGAUCAACAGUGCCAGAUACUGUUUGGAACCAAUGCCAGCUUUUGCAGUAAUAUGGAGCACCUGAUGUGCGCUGGAUUGUGGUGUUUAGUGGAGGGAGAUGCAGCCUGCAAGACCAAACUGGAUCCUCCCCUGGACGGAACAGAGUGUGGGCCAGAUAAAUGGUGCAGGUCCGGUAAGUGUGUGAAUAAGACUCCCAUCCCUCAGCAUGUGGACGGUGACUGGAGUCCAUGGAGCCAGUGGAGCGUGUGCAGCAGAACCUGUGGUACUGGAGUCCAUUUCAGACAGAGGAAAUGUGACAACCCUCCGCCUGGUCCUGGUGGACGACACUGUCAGAAGGCCAAUGUGGAGCACAAGGCCUGUGAGCGUCCUCCCUGUCCCAAUGGGGCAACAGGCUUCAGAGACCAGCAAUGUCUGUCCUAUGACCAACACGGCAGCAAAAACAAAGGCUUGCUGACGGCUAUUAUUAAUGAUGAGAAGCCUUGUGCGUUAUUUUGCAGCCCAGUGGGUCGAGAUGUCCCGGUCCUGAUGGCUGACAGAGUGAUGGAUGGGACGCCCUGUGGACCAUAUGAGGCAGACCUGUGUGUCAAUGGAAGAUGUCAGAAAAUUGGCUGUGAUGGCAUCGUCGGCCCUACAGCCAAAGAGGACCACUGUGGUGUAUGUAACGGAGAUGGGCGCUCCUGUAAGAUAGCGAGCGGAAAAUUCACCCACACCAAAGGAAUGGGGUACAUUGAAGCCGUCAUUAUUCCUGCAGGAGCCAGGAGGAUUAAAGUUGUUGAGGACAAACCAUCACACAGCUUUCUAGCUCUGAGAGACUCCAUCAAGAGGUCUAUCAACAGCGACUGGAAGAUUGAGCUUCCUGGAGAAUUUGAGCUGGCCGGAACCACGGUACACUACGUUAGAAGGGGACUGUGGGAGAAGAUGUCUGCCAAGGGACCCACCAAGACACCCUUACACCUGAUGGUGCUGCUCUUUCAUGACCAGAGCUAUGGGAUCCACUAUGAGUACACAGUGUCUCUGAACACAACCCAGGACAGUGACACACAUCUCUACAUCUGGACUCACAGCAACUGGCAGGACUGUACUGUCAAAUGUGGUGGAGGAGGUGGGGUUAAAGAUUUACAUAGAAACGACUGGGCCGGGGAGCUAACCGGGAACUCCAUUUCCACCGUGCUGUUCCUGGCCUCCCUCUCGGACAGCUUCCGGGUUGUCAUGUGGAUGUCAUAGUUCCUCUUUUGCCUCACACCUGCACUGCGUAGCUGGUUCCUGGCAAACUCAUGGGCAGACUCCAAGCGAUCCUGGAGUUUCCUCGCGUACUCAAGCCCUGGAGGACCUGCAGAGGCAUCAGGGGGUUUCCCCAUCAUCAUCUCGGCUGGCGUCCGGAUCUCUCUGCCUAGCAUGAGAAGGGCAGGAGAGCAGGAAGUGGACUCCUGCACCGCAGAUCUGUAGGCCAUCAGCACAAGAGGAACGUGGUCAUCCCAGUCGCGUUGGUGUUUUGCUGUUACUGGGGCCAGCUGUUGCGCCAGCGUGCAGUUAAAUCUUUCAACUAGUCCAUCACUCUGUGGGUGAAGUGGUGUAGUGCGAGUCUUGUGUGAGCAAAGUUUUUCACACAUGGCAGAGAAGUUCCUGCCCUAGUCUGUGUGGAUGAUUUCAGGUGCGCCAAAUCUGCUCAACAUCCCUCCCACCAGAGCGUCCACUACAGUCUCUGCCUCCUGGUUUGAGAGGCUGUAUGCCUCGGGCCACUUGGUGAAAGUCCAUAGCAGUGAGGAUGUACCGGUUACCUCUCUCAGUGUGGGAAAACGGUCCGAGGCCAUCAAUCCCCACCCUCUCCAUGGGGCAUCCUGCUGGAAACUGUUGGAGUUGGGCAUGAGAUCUGCCUGCAGGCCCCUUACUUGCAGUGCAGCUGUCGCAGCAGCGGCAGAAGUCCUCUACGUCCUGCCUGUGUUGGCCCCAGUAGAACCCUUGACGGAGGCGGCGCAGGGUCUUAUUAACGCCAAAAUGACCAGAUCCUGGAGCCCCGUGUCGCUCCUCAAGGGUGGCAGCCCUCACAAGCUGGGUCAGCUCCCCCAUCCAGGCAGGCUGCACCUUGUCCAUCUCAACCCCACCAGCAGGUCUCCCUGUUGGGGAAUUUCCAACUCCCCCGUCAAAGCACACAGCAUCUCUCUCUGUUGCAGACUCCAGAGCAUCCUGGAGGGACCCAAGGUGAGAGGAGGACAGUGGUUUCCUGUGUGAGGAUAGCCAAUAAAACCAUGGAAGCAGUCAACAACAGCUACUGUCAUCCUGAAAACCGACCACUACCCAAAGUACGACUCUGCAACUCUCAACCCUGUCAGUACCGG